This is a long non-coding RNA of Solea solea (common sole), 1426 nucleotides long. RefSeq lists it as uncharacterized. The transcript is spliced from 2 exons. NCBI's taxonomy places the organism in Eukaryota, Metazoa, Chordata, Actinopteri, Pleuronectiformes, Soleidae. The record is from RefSeq and is a predicted model, not a curated record.
GCCAUGUCUGUGCGCGCCACUGAUUAUUAUCACGCUCCCAUGUAUAAAUCAUGAUGAAAACCUGCAGGUGAUGCGUCUUCACUUCUCUCUGCUGCUGUUUCCCCUUCUCCUGUGAGGAGGAUCAUGGGUGUUGACGGGGGCCACAGAGCAGAUACGGGGGCCCCCCCAGCAGCCUGGGGCCCCCGCAGGUACAAGGCGUCCUCAGUGUGCGCCAGUGGGACAUCCGCGAUUUGACAGCUGCGUGGAGCUUUUCAGCCUUGUAAUUUCAGAUAAUAUCCCGAGCGCUCACUCUUCUCGGCAAUUUGUAUAUGAAUAACCGAAUAAUUUCCCCCUUUUGUUCCAUCUGUGCUACCUCAAAUCCAAAUAAAGAUGCCUUUUAGUAUUAAAAGUGGUUGAAAAUUACAGGUAAUUAUCUUUGACGGUAAAAACGCUGUAAUCAGCGGGCUACAUCAAAAAUUACCCUAAUUAUGCCUGCAUUUAUGAGAAUGGAAAAAAAGCCUCACUUGGAUAAAAACCCACAAAUUGUCCCAAAUAUCUCCUUCAUAUUGAACGCCACUGCAGCUGGCUGCUUUGUUCAACAUCGAUCCCGUGGAGCUUGGCAUUUAACGCCCUGCAUUAGGACGGAGAGAAGGGAGAAAACAUUUUGUCAAUACUUCUAAUAAUUGAGGGUGAAAUGACAAGAUAAGCUGGACGUGGAGCAAAUGGCUUUGGAGGUGAAUGUAGGCAGCAGCGGUGAGGGCCACUGGUCUCCGGCCCUCCUUCACUGCACUGCAUCCCCUUCUCUCCUCUUCAUCUCCCUCUUCAUAUCCACUCUACCCUUCUCUCCUAUUCCCCUCAACCCCACACCUCUCUCCCCCCAUUUUCCUUUGCACCCCCCCCCCCCCCAAAUAGGUACACCUCCACCCGCUCUUGGCAGCUCCAUCUCCUCCUCACAUCCCUCUCCUGGGUUGGUUUCCACAGCUGUGGUGAGUGAGGGGCAGAUGACCGGAGAAUUGGCCCCUGGGAGAGCGGUGAGCCAUCCUGGUGCUAUUAGGCUCGUGGCUAAUAAUAGGUGUUUCAGACCGGGGGAAGAUCAAUCAGGGGGAAUCAUGGGGAAUGUUCAGAGCAGCGCUUUUUACACAUCGGCCCAGAUGGAUGAAAUUACACUUGUCAGUUUUUAGUUGCAUUACUCCCAAAUUGGUUGUCUACUAUUUUUUUUCCCCCCUCUCUUCCUUUCUCUCUCUUUCCCCUCAUUCAUGUGUCAGUGGCCUGCUAAAAGGAUUCAGCGGUGAAAUCCGUCUGUAACAUUUUUGUCUCUUCCUUGUUCAGCUGCUCAGAGACAGCAGCUCUGCAGUCUGCCUGCAGUAUACGUGCACCGAGGAGAAAUCAGUGCAGGAUCCUGUCACACACACCUGAGCUGAUUUCCAUGUUGUGUUCCUGCAUGCAU